GGGUUUAUAGCUCAGUUGGUUAGAGCGCCACGUUGACAUCGUGGAGGUCAGAGGUUCGAGCCCUCUUAAACCCA
This 74-nucleotide transfer RNA is filed under the name Patescibacteria group bacterium. Its description in RNAcentral is "tRNA-Val". It matches the Rfam family "tRNA". From Rfam's summary of the family: Transfer RNA (tRNA) molecules are approximately 80 nucleotides in length. Their secondary structure includes four short double-helical elements and three loops (D, anti-codon, and T loops). Further hydrogen bonds mediate the characteristic L-shaped molecular structure. tRNAs have two regions of fundamental functional importance: the anti-codon, which is responsible for specific mRNA codon recognition, and the 3' end, to which the tRNAs corresponding amino acid is attached (by aminoacyl-tRNA synthetases). tRNAs cope with the degeneracy of the genetic code in two manners: having more than one tRNA (with a specific anti-codon) for a particular amino acid; and 'wobble' base-pairing, i.e. permitting non-standard base-pairing at the 3rd anti-codon position. The record is from RNAcentral. RNAcentral also lists the same sequence under 1 other name.